UACGUAGGUGGCAAGCGUUGUCCGGAAUUAUUGGGCGUAAAGCGCGCGCAGGCGGCCUUUUAAGUCUGAUGUGAAAGCCCACGGCUCAACCGUGGAAGGUCAUUGGAAACUGAAAGGCUUGAGUACAGAAGAGGAAAGCGGAAUUCCACGUGUAGCGGUGAAAUGCGUAGAGAUGUGGAGGAACACCAGUGGCGAAGGCGGCUUUCUGGGACGGUACUGACGCUGAGACGCGAAAGCGUGGGGAGCAAACAGG
RNAcentral lists this ribosomal RNA (253 nucleotides) under uncultured bacterium. RNAcentral's name for it is "partial 16S ribosomal RNA". It matches the Rfam family "Bacterial small subunit ribosomal RNA", at positions 524 to 776 of the family's 1533-position model. The record is from RNAcentral.